This 344-nucleotide ribosomal RNA is filed under the name uncultured bacterium. RNAcentral's name for it is "partial 16S ribosomal RNA". It matches the Rfam family "Bacterial small subunit ribosomal RNA", at positions 338 to 699 of the family's 1533-position model. The record is from RNAcentral.
CCUACGGGCGGCAGCAGUAGGGAAUAUUGCUCAAUGGGGGAAACCCUGAAGCAGCAACGCCGCGUGGAGGAUGAAGGUUUUAGGAUUGUAAACUCCUUGUGUUAGAGAAGAGGAUGACGGUAUCUAACGAAUAAGCACCGGCUAACGCCGGGCCAGCAGCCGCGGUAAUACGGAGGGUGCAAGCGUUACUCGGAACCACUGGGCGUAAAGAGUGCGUAGGCGGGGUAAUAAGUCAGAUGUGAAAUCCUGUAGCUUAACUACAGAACUGCCUUUGAAACUGUUACUCUGGAGUGUGGGAGAGGUAGGUGGAAUUCUUGGUGUAGUGGUCAAAUCCGUCGAUAUCA